GACGAACGCUGGCGGCGUGCUUAACACAUGCAAGUCGAACGGAAAGGCCCUGCUUUUGUGGGGUGCUCGAGUGGCGAACGGGUGAGUAACACGUGAGUAACCUGCCCUUGACUUUGGGUUAACUUCAGGAAACUGGGGCUAAUACCGGAUAGGAGCUCCUGCUGCAUGGUGGGGGUUGGAAAGUUUCGGCGGUUGGGGAUGGACUCGCGGCUGAUCAGCUUGUUGGUGGGGUAGUGGCUUACCAAGGCUUUGACUGGUAGCCGGCCUGUGAGGGUGACCGGCCACAUGGGGACUGAGAUACGGCCCAGACUCCUACGGGAGGCAGCAGUGGGGAAUAUUGCACAAUGGGCGGAAGCCUGAUGCAGCAACGCCGCGUGCGGGAUGACGGCCUUCGGGUUGUAAACCGCUUUCGCCUGUGACGAAGCGUGAGUGACGGUAAUGGGUAAAGAAGCACCGGCUAACUACGUG
Molecule: ribosomal RNA, 468 nt
Filed under: uncultured bacterium
Lineage: Bacteria
Description: partial 16S ribosomal RNA
Rfam family: Bacterial small subunit ribosomal RNA
Source: RNAcentral